UAGCGACCCCCUGACCU
RNAcentral lists this ribosomal RNA (17 nucleotides) under Ganoderma adspersum. Its description in RNAcentral is "partial 28S ribosomal RNA". Lineage: Eukaryota; Fungi; Basidiomycota; Agaricomycetes; Polyporales; Polyporaceae. The record is from RNAcentral.